CCUACGGGGCGCACCAGUGGGGAAUAUUGCACAAUGGGCGCAAGCCUGAUGCAGCCAUGCCGCGUGUAUGAAGAAGGCCUUCGGGUUGUAAAGUACUUUCAGCGGGGAGGAAGGUGUUGUGGUUAAUAACCGCAGCAAUUGACGUUACCCGCAGAAGAAGCACCGGCUAACUCCGUGCCAGCAGCCGCGGUAAUACGGAGGGUGCAAGCGUUAAUCGGAAUUACUGGGCGUAAAGCGCACGCAGGCGGUCUGUCAAGUCGGAUGUGAAAUCCCCGGGCUCAACCUGGGAACUGCAUUCGAAACUGGCAGGCUAGAGUCUUGUAGAGGGGGGUAGAAUUCCAGGUGUAGCGGUGGAAUGCGUAGAGAUCUGGAGGAAUACCGGUGGCGAAGGCGGCCCCCUGGAUAAAGACUGACGCUCAGGUGCGAAAGCGUGGGGAGCAAACAGGAUUAGAUACCCGAGUAGUC
This 465-nucleotide ribosomal RNA is filed under the name uncultured bacterium. RNAcentral's name for it is "bacterial SSU rRNA". It matches the Rfam family "Bacterial small subunit ribosomal RNA", at positions 338 to 795 of the family's 1533-position model. The record is from RNAcentral.